UGAGUACGAGAUGCUACGGCAUUGAAGCAGUCUAUGUCAGACUUCCAAGAAAAGCUCGGAAUAUCAUAAACAAAGAAUGCCUGUACCAUAACCGACACAGGUGGGUAGGUAGAGUAUACUAAGGGGCGCGAGAUAACUCUCUCUAAGGAACUCGGCAAAAUGACUCCGUAACUUCGGGAGAAGGAGUGCCUUCUUUUAGAAGGUUGCAAUAAUAAGAUCCAAUCAACUGUUUACCAAAAACACAGGUCUCCGCUAAGUCGUAAGACGAUGUAUGGGGGCUGACGCCUGCCCAGUGCCAGAAGGUUAAAGAAGUUGGUUAGUUUCGGCGAAGCUGAUGACUGAAGCCCUGGUGAACGGCGGCCGUAACAAUAACGGUCCUAAGGUAGCGAAAUUCCUUGUCGGGUAAGUUCCGACCCGCACGAAAGGCGUAAUGAUUUGGAUACUGUCUCGGAGAGGGGCUCGGUGAAAUAGACUUGUCUGUGAAGAUGCGGACUACCUGCACCAGGACAGAAAGACCCUAUGAAGCUUUACUGUAACUUGAGAUUGAAAUUGGACUUUAUUUGCGCAGUAUAGGUGGGAGACGUUGAGAAUAUUCUUGCGGGAGUAUUGGAGUCAUCAGUGAGAUACCACUCUUGUAAUGUUAGAUUUCUAACUUUGUAUCAUUAUCUGGUCAAAGGACAGUUUCAGGCGGGCAGUUUGACUGGGGCGGUCGCCUCCCAAACGGUAACGGAGGCGCACAAAGGUUUCCUCUGAACGUGUAGAAAUCGUAUCUAGAGUGUAAAGGCAUAAGGAAGCUUGACUGUGAGACCUACAAGUCGAGCAGGGACGAAAGUCGGUCUUAGUGAUCUGACGGUGCUGAGUGGAAAGGCUGUCACUCAACGGAUAAAAGUUACUCUAAGGAUAACAGGCUGAUCUCCCCCAAGAGUUCACAUCGACGGGGAGGUUAGGCACCUCGAUGUCGGCUCAUCGCAUCCUGGGGCGGUAGUACGUCCCAAGGGUUGGGCUGUUCGCCCAUGAAAGCGGUACGCGAGCUGGGUUCAGAACGUCGUGAGACAGUUCGGUCCAUAUCCGGUGUAGGCGUUAGAAUAUUGAGAGGAGCCUUCUUUAGUACGAGAGGACCGAGAAGGACAUACCUCUGGUGUACCAGUUAUCGUGCCAACGGUAAACGCUGGGUAGCUAUGUAUGGAGUGGAUAACCGCUGAAAGCAUCUAAGUGGGAAGCCCACCUCAAGAUAAG
Molecule: ribosomal RNA, 1236 nt
Filed under: metagenome
Description: bacterial LSU rRNA
Rfam family: Bacterial large subunit ribosomal RNA
Source: RNAcentral